Molecule: unclassified non-coding RNA, 378 nt
Filed under: plant metagenome
Description: partial contains 5.8S ribosomal RNA, internal transcribed spacer 2, and large subunit ribosomal RNA
Rfam family: 5.8S ribosomal RNA (bases 1-105)
Source: RNAcentral
GAAAUGCGAUAAGUAAUGUGGAUUGCAGAAUUCAGUGAAUCAUCGAAUCUUUGAACGCACCUUGCGCUCCUUGGUAUUCCUUGGAGCAUGCCUGUUUGAGUAUCAUGAAAUCUUCAAAGUAAAUCUUUUGUUAACUCAAUUGGUUUCUACUUUGGUAUUGGAGGUCUUUGCAGCUUCACACCUGCUCCUCUUUGUUCAUUAGCUGGAUCUCAGUGUUAUGCUUGGUUCCACUCGGCGUGAUAAGUUAUCUAUCGCUGAGGACACUGUAAAAGGUGGCCAAGGUAAAUGCAGAUGAACCGCUUCUAAUAGUCCAAUGACUUGGACAAUACUUUUAUGAUCUGAUCUCAAAUCAGGUAGGACUACCCGCUGAACUUAAGC